Molecule: long non-coding RNA, 271 nt
Organism: Clarias gariepinus (North African catfish)
Lineage: Eukaryota; Metazoa; Chordata; Actinopteri; Siluriformes; Clariidae
Exons: 3
Source: RefSeq, a predicted model, not a curated record
GCUGCACGUGACGUCACAGCAAAGUGACGCUAAACAUUCAAUAAGUAUUAAUGAGCUUCAGUGCGAACCGAUCACUCCUGGUCUGAACUCCCGCAGUCUGUUAGGUAAAAGAAACACCCUCAUGGAUACAGAAGAUCCUUCUCUUCUAGUUUACACAGAAAUGAAUUCUAUCACCACUCAAGAUUUUCCACCAUAUCAGGAAGCAUCAAUGGCCUAUAAAAAUGAGAUGUAUACAGAAGAUAUCUUUGUUCCAGGCAGCUCCAACGGGUAA